AAGGUCUAUUGUUACCUUUUUGUUAGAUGUGAUAACAAGCCAGCUCCGUGGACCAGGUUUAUAUAGAUCUUCGAAGCGCCUUCUUUUAUGUUUUCUGUUUGAGUCUAACGUUGUGGGAUAUACUGCAGUGACGAACAUGGAGAUCCUUCAAGACCUUUGCCUAAGCUUGAGGAUGCAAUAGACAUGUUUGAGAGAAAUGAAACUCUGUCAUGGAAUUGUGAUUGUCAUUGGAUCAGCGAUUUUGAGCUUUGGAUUAUACAUUGUGAUUUGGGGAAAAGAAAAAUAGGAUUCAACUAGAACUGUAGCAGGUCCUAAAAAGUCACCGUUGUUGGUUAACACACACCUUAGAGCAACACUAGUAUUACCAUCCCGUGCUUAGCACGGGUCAAGUUUUGUUUGCAUUAAAAAAGUCAUGCUUAAUCUAUUCACUUUUAUUUUUAUUGUUUUAAUGACUGUUCUGAUAAGAUUAAUAUAAUAAAAAAUAUUAUUAAUCAUGUACGUAAAUAUACAAUUUUUUUCUAAAAAUUCCUAAGAUAGUCGAAAAUGCUCUGUUCAUAACAAAUAGAUUAGUGAAAUUGUCAAACCAUAACAAACAAAUUUGUAAAAACUAUAUUUGCAUUAUCAUAGUUGUAGAUAGUUGAUACCUGUUUUCCUUCGGUUGAGUGUUAUUUUUUUUUGGUUGUUGCUGCUGUUGUUUUCCACAUCUUUAAAUUUGAAAAUGCUUAACCACCUUCGAGGCUACAAAAACAUAAUAUAGAAUUUUAAAGAGUAAGAGAGAAUUAUUUAGAAAAGAAGUAAGGAUACAAUUGUUUUCAGAGAAUGCUCCUUCGUUUUGUCUGUAAUUUGAGUUUAUCUUUUGCUUGAUUGUAUCUUGGCCUGAUAUACUUCUUUCUUGUUAAAGCUUAUUUUUUUUCUUCUUCCCCCUACAUUUCUGAUUUUAUUGGAUUAAAGCAAGGCAAAUAGUUUCCUAAAAUAGGCAAUAGAAAAAACAGAUUUAUAAAUACUAAUUUUAUAAAUAAAAGAGUUAGAGAUACUUAUUGUUACCUGACAACGCUUUAAAACAGGAGUAGACUUCAGAUGCCAUUUUCAAGCUGAAACAAAUAAUAAAAGAAUAUGACUUGUAUGGAUUUUCUUGCAUCUGGCGAAUAUCUGAAAGAGAAAAAAGAAAAAUAAGAAGCAAUGCAGAAGAAGAGAGAUGAAGAAGGUAUAGAGGCAGUUUUAAAUCGGAUCAUAUUUUUGAACGUGGUGUUUAUAAUGGGAAUUUUUUUAGGAAUGUAGGUAUUUGGAGUCACUGAAAACUCGGGACUUGAAUGUGAUUUUUAGAAAGAUAAUUUUGUAUCAAUAUUUAUUUUUAAAUGUUUUUGCCACAUGUCAUAUUCUGAUUAGUUAGGUGACUUGUGCUUUAGUAUAUAAAGGAUUAUUAGUAGGAUGAAGAGAGAGAGAAAGAAAGUCUCUUAUUUUAUUUUAUUUUUUUUGUCAUUGGAAAGUAAGGGACAUCCUUUAAUUAAAUGCUUUUCCCUUCUCUUUCUUCCUCGCUUCUCACCCCUCUUCCCUAAGGGAUGCCUUAAGAAACUUCCAAUAAUGAUGCUCUUAUACAAUGAAGCCUCAUCAUUAAGAUGUGACUGAUGAAAGUGGAGUACUUUUCAAUGGAUAUGGAGCUAUUAAAAGAUAUGGUACCCAAUAUUUCUUACGUAUACAUGUAUUUAUUACAUUAUUUAUUAACUUGUAGUAUCAUUUAGUA
Molecule: long non-coding RNA, 1741 nt
Organism: Brassica rapa (field mustard)
Lineage: Eukaryota; Viridiplantae; Streptophyta; Magnoliopsida; Brassicales; Brassicaceae
Source: RefSeq, a predicted model, not a curated record